CCUACGGGUGGCUGCAGUGGGGAAUAUUGCACAAUGGGGGAAACCCUGAUGCAGCAACGCCGCGUGAAGGAAGACGGCUUUCGGAUUGUAAACUUCUGUUCUUAGUGACGAAUAAUGACGGUAUCUCAGGAGCAAGCCACGGCUAACUACGUGCCAGAAGCCGCGGUAAUACGCGGGUGGCAAGCGUUGUCCGGAAUUACUGGGGGUAAAGGGGGCGCAGGGGGGAAGGCAAGUCUGCUGUGAAAACUACGGGCUUAACUUGUAGACUGCAGUUGAAACUGGUUUUCUUUUGUGAAGUAGAGGUUAGCGGAAUUCCGGGUGUAGCGGUGAAAUGCGUAGAUAUUCGGAGGAACACCGGUGGCGAAGGCGGCCAGCUGGGCAUUAACUGACGCUGAGGCUCGAAAGUGUGGGGAGCAAACAGGAUUAGAUACCCCGGUAGUC
Molecule: ribosomal RNA, 441 nt
Filed under: uncultured bacterium
Lineage: Bacteria
Description: partial 16S ribosomal RNA
Rfam family: Bacterial small subunit ribosomal RNA
Source: RNAcentral